AUUGAACGCUGGCGGCAUGCUUUACACAUGCAAGUCGAACGGCAGCACGGGGGCAACCCUGGUGGCGAGCGGCGAACGGGUGAGUAACACAUCGGAACGUGCCCAGUUGUGGGGGAUAACCUAUCGAAAGGUAGGCUAAUACCGCAUGAGCUCGGCAAGAGGAAAGCGGGGGACUCAGCGAUGGGCCUCGCGCGACUGGAGCGGCCGAUGUCCGAUUAGCAGUUGGUGGGGUAAAGGCUUACCAAGGCGACGAUCGGUAGCUGGUCUGAGAGGAUGAUCAGCCACACUGGGACUGAGACACGGCCCAGACUCCUAC
Molecule: ribosomal RNA, 316 nt
Filed under: uncultured bacterium
Lineage: Bacteria
Description: bacterial SSU rRNA
Rfam family: Bacterial small subunit ribosomal RNA
Source: RNAcentral